RNAcentral lists this ribosomal RNA (501 nucleotides) under uncultured bacterium. Its description in RNAcentral is "partial 16S ribosomal RNA". It matches the Rfam family "Bacterial small subunit ribosomal RNA", at positions 30 to 523 of the family's 1533-position model. The record is from RNAcentral.
AUUGAACGCUGGCGGCAGGCUUAACACAUGCAAGUCGAGCGGGGGAAGGUAGCUUGCUACCGGACCUAGCGGCGGACGGGUGAGUAAUGCUUAGGAAUCUGCCUAUUAGUGGGGGACAACAUCUCGAAAGGGAUGCUAAUACCGCAUACGUCCUACGGGAGAAAGCAGGGGAUCUUCGGACCUCGCGCUAAUAGAUGAGCCUAAGUCGGAUUAGGUAGUUGGAGGGGUAAAGGCCUACCAAGGCGACGAUCUGUAGCGGGUCUGAGAGGGUGGUCCGCCACACUGGGAGUGAGACACGGCCCAGACUCCGACGGGAGGCAGCAGUGGGGAAUAUUGGACAAUGGGGGGAACCCUGAUCCAGCCAUGCCGCGUGUGUGAAGAAGGCCUUAUGGUUGUAAAGCACUUUAAGCGAGGAGGAGGCUACUCUAGUUAAUACCUAGGGAUAGUGGACGUUACUCGCAGAAUAAGCACCGGCUAACUCUGUGCCAGCCGCCGCAGUAA